UACGGAGGAUCCGAGCGUUAUCCGGAUUUAUUGGGUUUAAAGGGUGCGCAGGCGGGAGAUUAAGUCGGCGGUGAAAUUUUGCAGCUCAACUGUAAAAGUGCCUUCGAUACUGGUUUCCAUGAGUGUGGAUGAAGUAGGCGGAAUUUGUGGUGUAGCGGUGAAAUGCUUAGAUAUCACGAGGAACUCCAAUUGCGCAGGCAGCUUACUAAACCACUACUGACGCUCAGGCACGAAGGCGUGGGGAUCAAACAGGAUUAGAUACCCU
Molecule: ribosomal RNA, 265 nt
Filed under: uncultured prokaryote
Description: partial 16S ribosomal RNA
Rfam family: Bacterial small subunit ribosomal RNA
Source: RNAcentral